CCUACGGGCGGCAGCAGUGAGGAAUAUUGGUCAAUGGGCGGAAGCCUGAACCAGCCAAGUCGCGUGAGGGAUUAAGGCCCUGCGGGUCGUAAACCUCUUUUGCCGGGGAGCAGUGGUCCGGACGAGUCCGGGCCGGGAGAGUACCCGGAGAAAAAGCAUCGGCUAACUCCGUGCCAGCAGCCGCGGUAAUACGGAGGAUGCGAGCGUUAUCCGGAUUUAUUGGGUUUAAAGGGUGCGUAGGCGGGCAUUUAAGCCGGCGGUCAAAUGUCGGGGCUCAACCCCGGCCUGCCGUCGGAACUGGGUGCCUUGAGUGGGCGAGAAGUAUGCGGAAUGCGUGGUGUAGCGGUGAAAUGCAUAGAUAUCACGCAGAACCCCGAGUGCGAAGGCAGCAUACCGGCGCCCGACUGACGCUGAGGCACGAAAGUGCGGGUAUCGAACAGGAUUAGAUACCCCUGUAGUC
RNAcentral lists this ribosomal RNA (460 nucleotides) under uncultured bacterium. RNAcentral's name for it is "partial 16S ribosomal RNA". It matches the Rfam family "Bacterial small subunit ribosomal RNA", at positions 338 to 795 of the family's 1533-position model. The record is from RNAcentral.